Long non-coding RNA from Cynoglossus semilaevis (tongue sole), 496 nucleotides. RefSeq lists it as uncharacterized. The record is from RefSeq and is a predicted model, not a curated record. NCBI's taxonomy places the organism in Eukaryota, Metazoa, Chordata, Actinopteri, Pleuronectiformes, Cynoglossidae. The transcript has 4 exons.
GUUCGGUGGACUCUCAGGGGACAUGGCCGCCGAGUUGCGGGGACGGACUUCCGGACACCUGUGUAUGUCAAGUGCGCGGAUUAAUGGCGCCUCGCUGGCGUAAACACCACAACAGACCUGUUCAGUGUUAACAACUGACUUGGCACACUCUCAGAGAAAAUGACCUUAAAAGGACUUGAAAAGGGCUGGAAUAGUUUGGCAGUUCCUGCUUCAAAACCACCGCUGACCACGUGCUGCCAACAGGAGAGGAUGGCCACAGGAGGGCGACAAAGACCUUUGCAAAACUCCCUCAAACUCACCCAGAAGAGCUGGCGUUUCACGGGAUCAAACUCUUCCAUCACCAAAGGAGAACGUCAUCGUCCACACAGCGCUUGUUCUGGAACCAGACCCGGAUCACCCGGGGGCUCAGGCCGGUCAUCUCCACCAGCUGCUCCUUCAUCAGCGCGUCCGGCCUCGGGUUGGCGUUGUAGCAGGUCCGCAACGUGUGCAGCUGCUU